RNAcentral lists this ribosomal RNA (442 nucleotides) under uncultured bacterium. RNAcentral describes it as "partial 16S ribosomal RNA". It matches the Rfam family "Bacterial small subunit ribosomal RNA", at positions 338 to 795 of the family's 1533-position model. The record is from RNAcentral.
CCUACGGGAGGCAGCAGUGGGGAAUAUUGGGCAAUGGGCGCAAGCCUGACCCAGCAAUGCCGCGUGAAGGAAGAAGGCUUUCGGGUUGUAAACUUCUUUGACAGGGGAAGAGCAGAAGACGGUACCCUGAAAACAAGCCACGGCUAACUACGUGCCAGCAGCCGCGGUAAUACGUAGGUGGCAAGCGUUGUCCGGAUUUACUGGGUGUAAAGGGCGUGUAGCCGGGAAGGCAAGUCAGAUGUGAAAUCUGGAGGCUCAACCUCCAAAUUGCAUUUGAAAAUGUUGUUCUUGAGUACUGGAGAGGCAGACGGAAUUCCUUGUGUAGCGGUGAAAUGCGUAGGUAUAAGGAGGAACACCAGUGGCGAAGGCGGUCUGCUGGACAGCAACUGACGGUGAGGCGCGAAAGCGUGGGGAGCAAACAGGAUUAGAUACCCGAGUAGUC